RNAcentral lists this ribosomal RNA (452 nucleotides) under Escherichia coli. RNAcentral describes it as "bacterial SSU rRNA". It matches the Rfam family "Bacterial small subunit ribosomal RNA", at positions 1 to 449 of the family's 1533-position model. Lineage: Bacteria; Pseudomonadati; Pseudomonadota; Gammaproteobacteria; Enterobacterales; Enterobacteriaceae. The record is from RNAcentral.
AAAUUGAAGAGUUUGAUCAUGGCUCAGAUUGAACGCUGGCGGCAGGCCUAACACAUGCAAGUCGAACGGUAACAGGAAGAAGCUUGCUUCUUUGCUGACGAGUGGCGGACGGGUGAGUAAUGUCUGGGAAACUGCCUGAUGGAGGGGGAUAACUACUGGAAACGGUAGCUAAUACCGCAUAACGUCGCAAGACCAAAGAGGGGGACCUUCGGGCCUCUUGCCAUCGGAUGUGCCCAGAUGGGAUUAGCUUGUUGGUGGGGUAACGGCUCACCAAGGCGACGAUCCCUAGCUGGUCUGAGAGGAUGACCAGCCACACUGGAACUGAGACACGGUCCAGACUCCUACGGGAGGCAGCAGUGGGGAAUAUUGCACAAUGGGCGCAAGCCUGAUGCAGCCAUGCCGCGUGUAUGAAGAAGGCCUUCGGGUUGUAAAGUACUUUCAGCGGGGAGGAA